Molecule: transfer RNA, 71 nt
Filed under: Podarcis lilfordi (Lilford's wall lizard)
Lineage: Eukaryota; Metazoa; Chordata; Lepidosauria; Squamata; Lacertidae
Description: tRNA.Ala
Rfam family: tRNA (bases 7-63)
About the family: Transfer RNA (tRNA) molecules are approximately 80 nucleotides in length. Their secondary structure includes four short double-helical elements and three loops (D, anti-codon, and T loops).
Source: RNAcentral
GCACCAUGGCUCAGUGGUAGAGCACCUGCUUUGCAUGCAGAAGGUCCCAAGUUCAAUCCUAGGCAUCUCCA